GGAAGAAAGCAAUCCCAUAAACCGUGGCUCAGUUCAGAUCGUAGGCUGCAACUCGCCUACGUGAAGAAGGAAUCGCUAGUAAUCGCAGGUCAGCAUACUGCGGUGAAUACGUUCCCGGGCCUUGUACACACCGCCCGUCACACCAUGGAAGUUGGCCACGCCCGAAGUCGUUACUCCAACCCUUGUGGAGGAGGACGCCGAAGGUGGGGCUGAUGACUGGGGUGAAGUCGUAACAAGGUAUCCGUACCGGAAGGUGCGGAUGGAUCACCUCCUAA
Molecule: ribosomal RNA, 275 nt
Filed under: uncultured Prochlorococcus sp.
Lineage: Bacteria; Bacillati; Cyanobacteriota; Cyanophyceae; Synechococcales; Prochlorococcaceae
Description: partial 16S ribosomal RNA
Rfam family: Bacterial small subunit ribosomal RNA
Source: RNAcentral